AUACCGGCAGUCCAAGUGAUGGCCGAUUUUAUUGGGCCUAAAGCGUCCGUAGCUUGCUGUGUAAGUCCAUUGGGAAAUCGACGCGCUCAACGCGUCGGCGUCCGGUGGAAACUGCGCGGCUUGGGGCCGAGAGACUCGACGGGUACGUCCGGGGUAGGAGUGAAAUCCUGUAAUCCUGGACGGACCACCAAUGGCGAAAGCACGUCGAGAGACCGGACCCGACAGUGAGGGACGAAAGCCAGGGGCUCGAACCGGAUUAGAUACCCGGGUAGUCCUGGCUGUAAACGAUGCUCGCUAGGUAUGUCACGCACCAUGAGUGCGUGAUGUGCCGUAGUGAAGACGAUAAGCGAGCCGCCUGGGAAGUACGUCUGCAAGGAUGAA
Molecule: ribosomal RNA, 381 nt
Filed under: uncultured bacterium
Lineage: Bacteria
Also listed under: 1 other name
Description: bacterial SSU rRNA
Rfam family: Archaeal small subunit ribosomal RNA
Source: RNAcentral